CUCUUGAGUAGGAUUUCGAUCUCUUCAUUAUAUCUGAUCCUCCAAAUCCCUCCUUCAUUUCUAGGGCCAUAGAUUCUUCUUAUCACCUUUCUUUCAAAUACUCUCAAUGCAUGAGUGUCCGCUGCAUUUAGAGUCCAAAUCUGUAUUUUAGCG
This is a long non-coding RNA of Nilaparvata lugens (brown planthopper), 153 nucleotides long. RefSeq lists it as uncharacterized. The record is from RefSeq and is a predicted model, not a curated record. NCBI's taxonomy places the organism in Eukaryota, Metazoa, Arthropoda, Insecta, Hemiptera, Delphacidae. The transcript has 3 exons.